Molecule: long non-coding RNA, 1441 nt
Organism: Dendrobium catenatum
Lineage: Eukaryota; Viridiplantae; Streptophyta; Magnoliopsida; Asparagales; Orchidaceae
Exons: 3
Source: RefSeq, a predicted model, not a curated record
GAAUCAAUUUGCGAUUGGGAGGCUUAAGUUUCUUUUUAUUCUAUAUACAUACAAAUAUAUUUACAACUAUUUCCCUCCCACUCACACGCUUACUCACGAUUUCAAAAAAUAGAGAAGCAGGAGUGGAAUUGAGAAGGUUCAGACGGUGUAGGAAGGCUUGUUCAUGUGUGAGAGGAAUGGGAUUACACGGCUGGGAGGAAUGAUUUAUUCGUGUGUCGGUGGGCUAUGAGAGGCAUGAGUCACGAUCGAAGCCGAGGGGGUUACGCGCGCAAGGCUGGUCAUGGUCGUGGCAUGGUUACUAGAGUCGGAUGGCUGGACUGCUCGCACGAUUUCGCAUGGGGGUCACAGAUAGGGCGUAGGCAAAAGUUGUGUUGGUGUCGCGGUUUAAUCGCAGGCGAGUGCCGCAGUUCGGUGGCAGGCGCGUGCCGCAAUUUGGUCGCAGGUGGAAGGUGAUGCUAGUUGGUGUCGCGGUUCAAUGGUAGGAGGAAGAGGGAGAUCGCUCGCCUCUCGCAAUUGCUAGAGGCUGCUAGCAUGUAGAUGGUCAGGGCUGGGGUCGGGUCCACUCGGCCGGAAGGAUGAUCGCACAUAAAAGACAGGACGGGAGGCGAGUGCCGAAGUCGAACAAGGCAGAUGGGAAUUCAAACUGCAGCUUCGCCGACAAGGAGAUGGUUGAAGUGGUUGUGCGCAAGCAGGCCUGUAAGAUCGGGAGCAAAAGUAGUGGUUUUGAUUUGCAGCAAAGGGAGUCGGAGGAGAAGACGGUUGAAUGGCAAAUGAUGAGGUGAGGUGUUGGUUUGGACGUGUGUAGAUUGAGGUUGUCGUUCAGAGAUGUGGAAAAGAGAUAGUAACUUCAAGUGGGAGCUGGGUUGUGUUGUUUGGGUUGGCGGUUCCGUGGAGAGAGGGACUGCAAAGGGUCGUCAGCAAGUGGGAACAUGUGGGCUUCGUGUAUUCGUACAGAGAGGAGGACGAGGCUACUGGUUCGGCAUGCUGAGGGAUCGAAAGAAGAAGAGGGGGCUGGGUCGCAUGCGAGGGAUCGAACAGAGGUUGACUCGCGUGGGUGAGGAACGGGGGAGAGAGGGAGGUUCAAACUCGGGGACUUGCGCGCAUGAGUUUGAUUGAAGCCACAGUGCACAAAGAGAAUGGGAAAUAGAAGAAUGGAGGCUGGUUCGGGCUGCUAAGUGCGAUGCAGAGAUAGCAAGGAGAAAAGUAAUGGCUGCACGACGACCUUACAUGUAUCGUCGUAGGGGACCUCAGGAUGAAAGGUUCCAUUUAUUUUAUGCUUUAAGUCUAAGGUUUGAAUUAGUAUCUGGGUAUGAUCAGUAUGUAAAGUUUAUGAAAUGUUGACUCAAAAGUUUUUAUUGGUGUUGAGAUGAUCUGAACUGUUUGGGAUUAUCUGUAUUUGAUGUUGUUUUAGUGGCUCUUUCUUAUUUAUGGAUGAUAUUUA